GCUCUGAUCCCAUAGAAAGAGGGGCCUUGUGAUGCCUUGGACUUCAGGACGAUUAGCCUCAUGUAUAGCAUCGCGAAGAUCCUCUGCAAGCUGCUUGCGAAUAGACUAGCCCCUAAGCUUCAACACUUAGUCUCUCACAGCCAAAGUGCUUUCAUUAAGAAGCGAUGCGUACAUGAUAAUUUUAUCUAUGUUCAGAAUGUCAUAAGAGAAGCCCAUGCUAAAAAAUGCCAAGCAUCUUUUUGA
This 243-nucleotide ribosomal RNA is filed under the name Triticum aestivum (bread wheat). RNAcentral describes it as "partial small subunit ribosomal RNA". The record is from RNAcentral. Lineage: Eukaryota; Viridiplantae; Streptophyta; Magnoliopsida; Poales; Poaceae.